Molecule: transfer RNA, 85 nt
Filed under: Stenomitos rutilans HA7619-LM2
Lineage: Bacteria; Bacillati; Cyanobacteriota; Cyanophyceae; Leptolyngbyales; Leptolyngbyaceae
Also listed under: 12 other names
Description: tRNA-Ser
Rfam family: tRNA
About the family: Transfer RNA (tRNA) molecules are approximately 80 nucleotides in length. Their secondary structure includes four short double-helical elements and three loops (D, anti-codon, and T loops).
Source: RNAcentral
GGAGAGGUGGCAGAGUGGUCGAAUGCACUCGACUUGAAAUCGAGCAUCGCGAAAGCGAUCGGGGGUUCGAAUCCCCCCCUCUCCG